GUGCUCGCUUCAGCAGCACAUAUACUAAAAUAGGA
This 35-nucleotide small nuclear RNA is filed under the name Cervus elaphus hippelaphus. The record is from RNAcentral. Lineage: Eukaryota; Metazoa; Chordata; Mammalia; Artiodactyla; Cervidae.